Molecule: long non-coding RNA, 529 nt
Organism: Oncorhynchus tshawytscha (Chinook salmon)
Lineage: Eukaryota; Metazoa; Chordata; Actinopteri; Salmoniformes; Salmonidae
Source: Ensembl
GUGAAAUGCUGAAUACAACAGGUGUAGUAGACCUGACAGUGAAAUGCUGAAUACAACAGGUGUAGGUAGACCUGACAGUGAAAUGCUGAAUACAACAGGUGUAGGUAGACCAGACAGUGAAAUGCUGAAUACAACAGGUGUAGUAGACCUUACAGUGAAAUGCUGAAUACAACAGGUGUAGGUAGACCUGACAGUGAAAUGCUGAAUACAACAGGUGUAGGUAGACCUGACAGUGAAAUGCUGAAUACAACAGGUGUAGUAGACCUUACAGUGAAAUGCUGAAUACAACAGGUGUAGGUAGACCUUACAGUGAAAUGCUAAAUACAACAGGUGUAGUAGACCUUACAGUGAAAUGCUGAAUACAACAGGUGUAGGUAGACCUUACAGUGAAAUGCUGAAUACAACAGGUGUAGGUAGACCUUACAGUGAAAUGCUGAAUACAACAGGUGUAGGUAGACCUUACAGUGAAAUGCUGAAUACAACAGGUGUAGUAGACCUUACAGUGAAAUGCUGAAUACAACAGGUGUAG